UACAGAGGGGGCAAGCGUUGUUCGGAAUUACUGGGCGUAAAGGGCGCGUAGGCGGCCUUCUAAGUCGAACGUGAAAUCCCUGGGCUCAACCCAGGAACUGCGUCCGAUACUGAAAGGCUUGAAUCCGGGAGAGGGAUGCGGAAUUCCAGGUGUAGCGGUGAAAUGCGUAGAUAUCAAGAGGAACACCUGCGGCGAAGGCGGGUUGCUGGGCCGACACUGACGCUGAGGCGCGAAAGCUAGGGGAGCGAACGGG
This 253-nucleotide ribosomal RNA is filed under the name uncultured bacterium. Its description in RNAcentral is "partial 16S ribosomal RNA". It matches the Rfam family "Bacterial small subunit ribosomal RNA", at positions 524 to 776 of the family's 1533-position model. The record is from RNAcentral.